RNAcentral lists this ribosomal RNA (505 nucleotides) under Psychrobacter sp. 2J19. RNAcentral describes it as "bacterial SSU rRNA". It matches the Rfam family "Bacterial small subunit ribosomal RNA", at positions 93 to 597 of the family's 1533-position model. Lineage: Bacteria; Pseudomonadati; Pseudomonadota; Gammaproteobacteria; Moraxellales; Moraxellaceae. The record is from RNAcentral.
GAGCGGCGGACGGGUGAGUAAUACUUAGGAAUCUACCUAGUAGUGGGGGAUAGCUCGGGGAAACUCGAAUUAAUACCGCAUACGUCCUACGGGAGAAAGGGGGCAACUUGUUGCUCUCGCUAUUAGAUGAGCCUAAGUCGGAUUAGCUAGAUGGUGGGGUAAAGGUCUACCAUGGCGACGAUCUGUAGCUGGUCUGAGAGGAUGAUCAGCCACACCGGGACUGAGACACGGCCCGGACUCCUACGGGAGGCAGCAGUGGGGAAUAUUGGACAAUGGGGGNAACCCUGAUCCAGCCAUGCCGCGUGUGUGAAGAAGGCCUUUUGGUUGUAAAGCACUUUAAGCAGNGAAGAAGACCUAACGGUUAAUACCCGUUAGCGAUGACAUUAGCUGCAGAAUAAGCACCGGCUAACUCUGUGCCAGCAGCCGCGGUAAUACAGCAGGUGCAAGCGUUAAUCGGAGUAUUGUGGGUAUAGGGAGCGUAGGUGGUUUGAUAAGUCAGAUGUGA